UAUACACAUGACAACAAUACAAUUAAGGGGGAGGGCACAACAAUAUACAUACACUCACAGGAUUCCAUCAUCUUUCAUUUUUUGAUGACAAUAUACACACACACGUAAGAUGUACAGAGCUUCCUCACCAUUUCGUCUCUCAAUACAUACAAACACCUCAUACACGCACAUACCCCUCAAUUCACCAAUACACAGUUCCCACAGCCCACAUUACACAGAUUACACUCGCAGUAAUUCUCACACACACACACUGAAAAUUGGAGGGAGAUUGAGAGUGAAGAGAGAGAUUGAGAAAGACAGUGAUUGGAAAUCUGAGAGGAGAGAGGAAACAGACGUCGAAUGACACUAUUUCGGCGAGAACCCGCCAAAAAAGGUUGAAAACUCGGCUGAUUCACCAAUUCCCAUCGCUACUAGAGCUCACUGAAGCUCCGGCAAAAUAAUAACAACAAAACAUCCCUCUCCCGUCCCCGUCUUCGGUAAAUUCAUCGGAGAACAAAUUCCAAAUCUACCUGACCAGUCCCAGAUUCGGCGGAAAUUGUCAAAAAAUGAACGAAGCAGUAGUGGGGUGUGCAAAUUCGAGUACGGGUCUUUUGUUAUUUUCUUGAUUUUGAUCUAGGUUGGCGAAAAACAGAGAAAAAGGGUAUAUCGUGGUCGGGUUUAUUAGUGGAGGUUUGAAUUGAGGUUUUUCGGGCGCGCUUCUAUCUUCGAUAUAUCAAAAUCGACAAUUGAGGCUGGAGGACACUAUUAUGAUAAUAUGUUGAUACCUGUCAAGGCCAGAGAAUACUAUUGUGACGAUAUUGAUAUCCGACAAGACCGGAGGACACUGUUGUGAUGAUGUUGAUACCUAGAAAGGCUGAAGAAUACUAUUGAUGAUGUGUUGAUAUUCGGCAAAGUCGGAGGUUGAUUACGAUGAUGAUGGUCCUGAUGAAGAUAGUUAUGAUGAGUUGUGAUACUGGUUGUGUACUUUGCCUUUAUUCCUACAUGUGCAUCGCAUAUCACUAGUAUGCACCUAUAUUUAUCAGCCGGUAUAGGAUGGUUGCAUAUAUAUGAGUGAAGAAUAUUUCUUGUGUUUUUGUAUACUAAUUAAACCUUUUGAGUCUGGGGCGGUGGGGGUACGCAUAGGCUCGGCUAAAUAUUUGGUUGUCCGUAAGUUGAGUGCUAAGGAGAUUGCAUCUGUGAAGGUCCAGAAGAAGAAUCUUCCUAUUGAGGAGGUCACUUUUUGCUGAUUCAAGUAAUUCCUUAGUACUUUCCUUGUCGCUUGUUUGUCAUUAGGGGACAAACGAUUGUUUAAUUAGUAUCUGAUGUAACGACCCUCCCGGUCGUUUGUGA
Molecule: long non-coding RNA, 1329 nt
Organism: Capsicum annuum
Lineage: Eukaryota; Viridiplantae; Streptophyta; Magnoliopsida; Solanales; Solanaceae
Exons: 2
Source: RefSeq, a predicted model, not a curated record